Molecule: ribosomal RNA, 322 nt
Filed under: uncultured eukaryote
Lineage: Eukaryota
Description: partial 18S ribosomal RNA
Rfam family: Eukaryotic small subunit ribosomal RNA
Source: RNAcentral
CCCCUAGAUGUUCUGGGCCGCACGCGUGCUACACUGACCGGCGCAACAAGCUUUUUUCCUUGGCUCGACAGGCCUGGGUAAUCUUCGAACGCCGGUCGUGAUGGGGAUAGAUCCUUGCAAUUUUUGAUCUUCAACGAGGAAUUCCUAGUAAAUGCGAGUCAUCAUCUCGCGUUGAUUACGUCCCUGCCCUUUGUACACACCGCCCGUCGCACCUACCGAUUGAAUGGUCCGGUGAAAUCUCGGGACGGCGGCUUGGUCGCUUGCGUCCGACUGCUGAAACUUGAUUAAACCAUAUCAUUUAGAGGAAGGUGAAGUCGUAACA